RNAcentral lists this unclassified non-coding RNA (223 nucleotides) under uncultured Myxococcales bacterium. RNAcentral describes it as "contains 16S-23S intergenic spacer region". It matches the Rfam family "Bacterial small subunit ribosomal RNA", at positions 976 to 1201 of the family's 1533-position model. Lineage: Bacteria; Pseudomonadati; Myxococcota; Myxococcia; Myxococcales. The record is from RNAcentral.
UGGGCUAGACAACGGCGGACCGUCCUAGAAAUAGGAUCUUCCCUUCGGGGACUGCCGGUUCAGGUGCUGCAUGGCUGUCGUCAGCUCGUGCCGUGAGGUGUUGGGUUAAGUCCCGCAACGAGCGCAACCCUCGUCCUUAGUUGCCACCAUUCAGUUGGGCACUCUAAGGAGACUGCCGGCGUUAAGCCGGAGGAAGGUGGGGAUGACGUUGCGGCAUUAGCCA